CAGUAGCCACGGUAAUACGGAGGAUCCAAGCGUUAUCCGGAAUCAUUGGGUUUAAGGGGUCCGUAGGCGGUUUAGUAAGUCAGUGAUGAAAGCCCAUCGCUCAACGGUGGAACGGCCAUUGAUACUGCUGAACUUGAAUUAUUAGGAAGUAACUAGAAUAUGUAGUGUAGCGGUGAAAUGCUUAGAGAUUACAUGGAAUACCAAUUGCGAAGGCAGGCUACUACUAAUUGAUUGACGCUGAUGGACGAAAGCGUGGGGAGCGAACAGGAUUAGAUACCCCUGUAGUCCCUGUCUCUUAUAC
RNAcentral lists this ribosomal RNA (301 nucleotides) under uncultured bacterium. Its description in RNAcentral is "partial 16S ribosomal RNA". It matches the Rfam family "Bacterial small subunit ribosomal RNA", at positions 509 to 807 of the family's 1533-position model. The record is from RNAcentral.